AGAUGGCCUUUGGUUGGAAAGGUCUCAUCUGCUUCUUAAAUCCCGCCGUAACUGUGAAUGUUUGCGAUGCCACCACAUCCCCAGUACAAGAGAACUGGAGCAUCUCUGGCUCCUUCCAUAAUCGAAGGGCUUCCAGCGUAGGGCGUAGGGGGAGAGGCCCGAAGCCCUGGAGACAGCGCCCGAGGGAUGGAGGCCGCGCUCGGCUGCGCUCAGGUCCGGGUGGCUCCGGGAGCUGAGACCCCGCAGGAUGCAGCGGGGGGGGGCCAGGGCCUGAUCCCCUACCCCUGCGAGCCAGGGCCGCCUACGCCCCCACUGCUUCCCACAGGACACAGCAAGAGGCAACAUUUUGGAAGCAGAGGGCAACUCUCACUGGAAACCAAAUCUCCUGGCACCUUGAUCUUGGAUUUUACAGCCUCCAGAACUGAUAGCUGGGAGGCAUUACAUAGUCAUGUGCGAGGUCAAAACUGAGUCACCACCACAACCAAGUUCCAGCUGGCAAGAAGAGGAAAAAUAACACAGAGGAGUUAUGACCAGUGUUGUAAGGAUCUGGCCUAGAAAUGGCAUGCAUCUCUUCCACUAAUAUCCUAUUGGUAAAAAUGUAGUCACAUGGGCACACCACCUAUCUGCAUGGAAGGCUGGGAAAUGUUGAUCGGUAGGGCAGCCAUAUGUGUAGGAAGGAGAAAACAGAAUUUGGUGGAUACCUAGUAGUCUCUGCCAUACCCUUGACCAGAAAUUUUUCUUCUAAAGAAUUUAAUUCUAAAAGUUAUAGACAUUCCCAAAGAUAUACCUGCAAGCAUCACAGCUUUGUGUAUAAUUGCAAAAGUUGAAAUCAACAUGAAUGCCCAAAAUAGUGAAUUAUUUAAACAGAUUAUUACCCAUAUUAUGAAGAAAUACUCUGCAACUCUUAAAAAUAAAUGUAAUGUGCCAGGCGCAAUGGGAUAUGCCUGCAGGCCCAGCUACACGGGAGGCCAAGGCAGGAGGAUCACUUGAAAUCAAGAGUUCAAGUCUAGCCUAGACAACAUAGUGAGACUUGGUCUCUAAAAAAGAAAAAAAAAAAUAAAACUGAUGUAAUGAAUAUAUAAUUACAACAAAAGAGGUCUAACACUAUAGUAGAAAAGUUUGGGGCACUCAUCCCAUUCAUAAUUAUUUUACAUUUAAAUUACUGUUCCUACUUAAGUGGUGAGCUUGGUAACCAUUUUCAUAUCAGGUGAUACUGCUGCAGUAAUCAUAGCUGUUUGAAUCAGGAAUAAUCCCAAUCACAUUUUCUCUUAAUCGUUUAUUAUACUGGGCAUUGGGGUUGCAAGAUAAUGCACAGUCCGAGCUCAAUACAUGUCUUCAUGUACCUGUAUGUAAAUCCCACUUUUAUUCUAAAAUUCUUUGAAUAUUUUGUUUCUUGGAACCCAAUGAUCCUAAGAAAAUUAUGUACUUUUACCUGAAAAUUAAAACCAAUAUUUAUAAAAAGUGUAUAUGCAGUAUGAUACCACUUUUAAAAAAAGAUAAAUUUAUAGAAAAAAGUUUAUAUGACUGACAACAAUGUCUCUGAGUGGUAGGAUUACAGUUAAUUUUUAUUUUCUUCAUUCUACUUAUCUUUAUUUUCUGAACUUUCUACAAUGAACAUGUUUUAUUUUUACUUUUGUUAAAAUAAAUAACAUUUAAUUUGACGGAAAAUUCUAAAAAUCAACAUUUGGUAACUUAAAUAUUCAUUGGCACAUGAUUCUGUGCCUGUUUCUGGGGGUCAUUCCCAUGAGAAGAGCAGGUAGAACUUAUGAGAAUAGAGCAGUCGAAAUAUUAUAGGUUUCAUAUUUUACGGCUUUAUUGAAAACAUUGAUAUAUUGAAUAUUCAUAAAUUUUAAUUUAACUUUCUUUUAUAAUCCUUAAUGUGAGGCUAAGGUAUAAGGAGAAAGGAGAUUGGUAAGGAAGUGUGAUACAUAUUGAAUCAGGUGUCAAGGUACCAUUUGUGCCUGGAUCUGACCAAUAGACCAAGGUAAAAAUCUCAAAGAAUGAGACUUGUAAUGAGAAUGCCACAAACUUGAAUACCUUAUGCACAAAACACAAACAUUGUUAUGCAUAAUGUACAUGAACCCUGAAACAAAGAUAAUGAUUUGGACCACCCAACUGAAGUGGCAUGUUAUGUUUUUGGCAUGAACAAAAGAAACAAGAGAGAAAAAAAUCAAAAUAAUUAAAAUAAAUUGUUAGAGAAAAGUUACUUUAAAAAUAGCUAUAACGCUUUGCAAUUUCAGUAACAGUUCUGCCUCUGAUGCAAUGUAAAACAUGUAUUAGACAUUCAGGCUCCACAAUAAAUUUUAAUGAGCACUACAAAUUUAGAAUAUAUAAAAAUAUCAGUAACCUAUGAAUUCAUCAACAUAACUCACUUUUCAGUUAAGUUAGGCUGAGUUGAAAUUCUACUAAGUUUUCCCAUAUUCUUGAUAAAGGCUAAAUUUGAAAUAAUUUAUUUAGAUGACUAAUUGGCAAUUUGAUAGUAGUUACAUUUUAUGUAACACUUGAUAUAAUAACCCAAAUUAAUUAGCUCAAUAUUAUCUUCUGUGGUUUAUUGAUCCAAAAGUACAUAUUUGUUAUGUAAACUUAUACUAUGUAAACUUGAAUUAGUUUUUUGCUUCCUUGAAUUAAUAAAGCCCAUUAAUGCAAAUCUAAGCCUUCAUAGACUUUUCCAAUCCUUAGUUAAAUAUUAAAAACUGAGUAUUGUAGUUAUUUGCUAGGUAUAAAAGGUGACUCAGAGUAGAGAGUAAGAUGUCAGCAAAUAGACAAUAAGAUGUCAGCAAAAGUGCCUCAAAUUUUAACUGCGUCAAGUUAAGGGCAUUGUAAAUACUGUAGUUUUAUGUAGCUUGCAACUUCUACUGAAAUGAGUUUAAUCAUGUCUUUCACAUAGCUGAAGUUUGUGUCAAGAUUUAAGCUGAUUUUCUCAUUCUUAUCAAAGUCUCACCUGGGGGUAGGGAGGGGUAGGCCUACCUCCCACCUCUAUACUAUCAUUUUAGGAACAGACAGGCAUAAAUCUGUUCAUAUGGUAGAACACAUGAUGUUAGAGUAUAUUUUGUUGAAUGCUAUGGAAUAUUAAUAUAAUUAAUUCUAAAAUAUCACCUAAAAUAUGUCAACUGAAGAUCUGACUGUACUAAAUAUGAAAAAUAAAGCAGCA
Long non-coding RNA from Homo sapiens (human), 3151 nucleotides. Ensembl annotates it as WDFY3 antisense RNA 2. Its record names the gene WDFY3-AS2. The record is from Ensembl. Lineage: Eukaryota; Metazoa; Chordata; Mammalia; Primates; Hominidae.